UCUGUAUUCAUAGAAUGUAAUCCAUAUCUUCGCCUUAACAAGNGUUGGUAAAACUUAUACAACUUUCAACAACGGAUCUCUUGGCUCUCGCAUCGAUGAAGAACGCAGCGAAAUGCGAUAAGUAAUGUGAAUUGCAGAUUUUCAGUGAAUCAUCGAAUCUUUGAACGCACCUUGCGCCCCUUGGUAUUCCGAGGGGCAUGCCUGUUUGAGUGUCAUUAAAUUCUCAACUCCGAUUUGAUUUGUUUCUUAUCGGAGCUUGGACUUUGGAGCGUGCUGGCGUAAGGUCGGCUCCUCUUAAAUGUAUCAGCGGAAUCUAACCUUUGGAUUCUGGACAUCGGUGUGAUAAUAAAAGUUGCGCCGUCGUUCUACUUCAAAGUCCGCUUACAAUGGUCUUUUGACAAACUCUUAUCAAAUUUGACCUCAAAUCAGGUAGGACUACCCGCUGAACUUAAGCAUAUCAAUAAGCGGAGGAA
RNAcentral lists this ribosomal RNA (473 nucleotides) under uncultured Piloderma. RNAcentral describes it as "eukaryotic LSU rRNA". The stretch from base 61 to 215 matches the Rfam family "5.8S ribosomal RNA". Lineage: Eukaryota; Fungi; Basidiomycota; Agaricomycetes; Atheliales; Atheliaceae. The record is from RNAcentral.